Pygocentrus nattereri (red-bellied piranha) is the source of this 3196-nucleotide long non-coding RNA. RefSeq lists it as uncharacterized. The transcript has 5 exons. Lineage: Eukaryota; Metazoa; Chordata; Actinopteri; Characiformes; Serrasalmidae. The record is from RefSeq and is a predicted model, not a curated record.
AUGAAAAGUGUAACUUUAGCCUCUCAGCUGUACGUCUCAAUCCAUAAUCCUGCCCCAAAAACCCAGAGAAGAGCUUGCUGCCACUCUCACGUUGUUCCCCACCGGUGCUGGUCCAGCCUGGGUAUGUUUAUGGCAUUCAGUUUAGUGCCUUUGCCUUACUUGCCAGCUGAAAGGGAUUUAGUGCAACAAUUUUCAGUCAGGCUACUACGAAUUGCAGCAGGCUGCAUGGAGGGCAACAGAAUCCUGCUCUUCUUGUAUACAAGUUAUUUACAUUAACACUGGAUGCCAUACCCUACUAUAAAAUGACAGCAUAUAUGGAGAGUAUGUGACAACGCAUGGCCAAGGUUGGAGUCUGUGUGCAAACACAGAUGCAGAAGCAUCGUCCCAAUCUAGCAUGCAGACUCUCGGGCACAGGUGAGCCUUGCCCUCCAUGCUCCCCACCGUGCUUCUACCCUACUCCAGCUCAGCCAUGGUCCAAGGGUCAGGCCUAAGGCUCAGCAUGCAACUGCUCCUGGUCACAUUAGGUCCCAGCACCCCUGAGAUGGGUCUGCAGAAUGCCAUGCUCUGAGACGUUUGAUGUCACGGUGAGAGAGGCUCUGUUACUGUGCCUUUAAUUAGCUCCAGCAGCUGCCACUUCCUGGUCCAAGAACGCCGCCACACUCCACUAUCUGGCUAAUCUCUUGCAGGACGAAUCACUGAGUGGACGAACGAACUUCUCUGAUAUACGGCGCUGAGGGACGGAGAUGACGCGCUGCUGUGUGGACAUGCAGAGCGGCAGAGUGAUGGAGCUGUAGAGGGCUGCUUACAUUCACACUUUGAUGUACAGCAUCCAUUAAACCGUGUUGUUUCAGCUCCUGUCCCUGCAGAACCGAGCUGUUCUUCUGUCUGCUGUGCUCCACGCCUCACAAGUCUCCACCAAUUGUUCUCCGCGAUGAGUGCGGAGGUCUCCGGUGUGGUCUGGAUAUUUUGGAUAAGGGAGAUUAUUCUGGAUGCCAUUUCUCAUAAAUGAGUUAAUGUGGCUGUUAUGAUGAGAGAAUGAUGCAUUUAUCAAACACUAAAUGCGAGGCACUGCUCUGUGUGUCAGCGGCCGAGGACGUGCCAGGAGAAACUCUAGAGAGCUGCGCUGGACUGCAGACAGCAGGAAUUUGCCAGCUGUGAACACAAACACAAACACUGAAAAUGUCCCACUCACUGCAGUCAUUACUCAUGUUGUACACCUGCAAGUGUAUGCUAUAUUGUGUGAAAUGUGACAUUCUGGAUUGAAAGGUCAGAUAUGAGUUUCUAUUUAUUAUCUAGCCAUAUUAUAAUAACACAAUAGUUUCUAUUGUUAAUCCAGUGUUAAAGGAGUACCUUCAGAGUUCAUUUAAGGCCUCUAUGUGUAUCACUGGGUCGAUUACUCCAGACAAAAACUUGGACACCUUUCUCUGUUCAUAAGAACAGAAAACCCAUUGACUCUGAACACAUUUAUAAUAGAAGCCAAUGGGCAGCUUUUUCAGCACCAAAUCAAUGUGUUCUCUGUUCUUCUACUAAGUGCAUGGAAACAGGGAAAUUAUUCACCAUGGUAAUCGAUUGCAAGCUGUAUACAGCUUGAGAUUUGGCUGAAAAAUAGAGAAAUAUUCCUUCAACAAGGUCGAUUGUACAGUUGUGUCAUGUAAAAUGUACAACUUCUAGCCCAUUACUCAAGAAGCUCAAGGGGGAUUUUAUUCCAUAUGCUGAAUAAAAGUUUUCUUGCCCAUUACUGCUCCACAUGCCAAAAUUUUAGCAGAUGCUAUAACAACUCAACAGACCUGUACAUCAUCUGGCACUCCUACACUAAUGAAGACUCAUGUUGCCCCUGUGAUCAACUGUUAUAACACCAUCUGCCAUCCUACCUUUCUGUGCACUGACCAAGUCUCGUCAGUGGUUAUAAAGAAGCUGUACUCCUGUGAUAUGGCUUGUCAUGUAGCCUAAAAAAAGUGAAAUUAAUGAAUGAAAGUUGAUUAAUACAGCACUGUGCCACUUUCUUCAGCAUCAGGGAAAAAACAGAAAGAGUUUAAUUCCAAAAUACUGGUGUAGCAUUGUCAUUCCUUGUAUGUGUAAAGCCACAAUCUUUGAAAGCAAAGCCUCAACAACUAAGUAUGACAUCUGUUUCAUUAUUUAUGUGUCCCCCUUUGCCUUUAUUCCAGCUUAAUAUUCAUUUUCGGGAGAAUUGCUUUCUUGCUUUUUUUUUUUAAAGAAAUCUGCCUGGAUAUUUUUCCACACCUCUAAAAUUCAGUGUUAGAAGUUGGUUGCAUUUUCUGCUUCUCAUAAUCCAACUAAUCCCAAACAUUCAGUGAUGUUGAGGUCUGGACUCUGGGGUGGCCAGGCUAUUGUUUAGAGAACACCAACCGUGCCUUCGAUCUAUUAGUCUUCCUUUUUUUCCAUAGUAACACAUUCUUUCAGACCCAUAGUGUUGAGUUGUCUUCUCAGAGUGGAAGGAUGGACAGAAACACCUGAAGUCUGAAGCAAGAGUGGAGAUCGAUUUCCUCCUGUCUCUCAAAGAUGAAAGCUUUUAUCUGAUGGUGACAGUUAUGGUGGUCUACCAGGACUUGCACAUUUAUUAGGAAUCUCUCUAUAGAACUAGUAAUAAUUCUUUGAACUACAGUUUUGGGCAUUCCUGUUUUUCACAGAUUUUCCUUCGACGUUCCGCUUCCUUAUGCAGGAAUAUCUCUUGAAAAAUAAAUAACUUGAGUUUUAAUUUUUAACUGGACAUUAAAUAAAUCAAGGCUGGCCUGAUUUUUGUGCAUUAUUGUAUAUUCCUUUCUCUUUUUCUCAUAACUUCAUCAUCUGAAUCUCUUCAAACAUGCAGAGCCUGAAAGGCCAGUUCUUACACUGCUCCUAUUAAGUCAACCAGCAGAGCAUUUUGCCUGCAAAUCAAAGUGAAUUUUACCUAAUGAAAUUACAUUUCAUCUUUGCCCUGUCUGUCACUGAUAGCUUAUUGGACUGCACCAUGCUUUCUAUAAUGGAAAACACUUCAUUUCCUGGCUUUGAAAUUAAACAGCCAAUAGGAUCCAUUUUUAGACCCACCAGAUGAUGCAUUUUCACGAGUUUGGUCAAUAGAACCAAAUCUUGGUAAACACGUGGGAGUUCCGAACGCUUUUUUCUUUCAGCAGAUCCAUGACAAGAUGAACAUUAAAAAAAGCAAUAUUCAGAACUUCACGAGGCUUGCUUUCAAAAA